Magnolia sinica is the source of this 1183-nucleotide long non-coding RNA. RefSeq lists it as uncharacterized. The transcript has 4 exons. Lineage: Eukaryota; Viridiplantae; Streptophyta; Magnoliopsida; Magnoliales; Magnoliaceae. The record is from RefSeq and is a predicted model, not a curated record.
GAGAGAUUCUUCUACGUGUAAUGAACUUGAGGAAAUGCACCAGCCAGUAGACAGACCAGGUAAUGGAGGAUUGAUGUCUGGUAGGCAGCUGGUUAUGAGUAUUAUGAUAUUACUACUGCUGUGUUAUAUAUGAGAUGGAAUUAGCUGGCUCGUGGCUGUUAUAUAUAAGGAGGAUAAGCAUUUGCUUGGCCUAAUAAACUGUACAUGUGGGGCCCACCUUUUUUCAGAUUUGGAGCAGUUUGGAACACAGCAAAGGUAGAACCAGGAUCUAUUGUUGCUGUUUUCGGCCUUGGGACUGUUGGCCUUGCAGACAUUGACAGGCAGGUUAAAAGCUUCGUUCUGUAAGGCUUUUCACACAUCUUCCAUCUAUGGCAGAGCUUAUGAAAGUGCAGCUUGUCUGCUACAUGUGCUCUUGCACGUGUUAGCGUGAUGGACAUGCUGCGUUUCCACAAGUUCACCAUAGAUGAGUCUCUGUCCUAUUGCACUGCAAGAUGCCAUGUUUAUUAUGUCCCAUUGUUGGAACUAUUGGAUUUGAUAUGUUGGAUUUGCCAAAUCAUAUUAGCAAGGUUCAUGGAUGCCUUCUUAAGGUUGACCUUUGGGAUUGUAUUUGCUAAUUUCUUUAUAUAUUUACCUUUCUAAUUUUCAGGAACCUGUGCAUUCUUAAUGUGUAUCCUGACCUUUGGGAUUCCUUGCUUGUAACUAUCUAUCACUAUGGAUGAUUCAUCCUCCAUUCAUUAGCUGUCAUUCUGAAAUGUUUUUCAUGCAAUUUGUGUUAUUCUGUUGGGAGAUUUUAGCAUUGAAACUUUGAGGAUUUUCUACAGGGGAGCGGUUUACGGAGAUAGUGGGCAGUCCAUAUUUUAGUAUCUCAAUUCACCUUAUACUGUUUUUUUUUUCCUUCAGUUCCAAAUCUCUUUUCUUCAUGAUCUCUAGUAGUAAAUAACUAUUGCAUUCCUUCUUUCAGGUUAACAAACCAAAUCUUCCACUUGCAUCGCGAUUUUCAGGCUUUUUGGAAACAACAGCUUGUCUGAUACAUGACUGCCAUCCCAAAAAAGCUAUAAACUUCUUAAUGUGCAUUAGGAAGGGAUGAAUGGGAGUUAGAUGGUUGGAUUAUUUUUAUUUAUUUAUUUGUCUUGUUUUGUAGGCUUUAAGAAGGGAUGAAUGAGAGUUUUGAUGGCCCACUCUG